RNAcentral lists this ribosomal RNA (242 nucleotides) under uncultured Acinetobacter sp. Its description in RNAcentral is "partial 16S ribosomal RNA". It matches the Rfam family "Bacterial small subunit ribosomal RNA", at positions 94 to 339 of the family's 1533-position model. Lineage: Bacteria; Pseudomonadati; Pseudomonadota; Gammaproteobacteria; Moraxellales; Moraxellaceae. The record is from RNAcentral.
AGCGGCGGACGGGUGAGUAAUGCUUAGGAAUCUGCCUAUUAGUGGGGGACAACAUUCCGAAAGGAAUGCUAAUACCGCAUACGCCCUACGGGGGAAAGCAGGGGAUCUUCGGACCUUGCGCUAAUAGAUGAGCCUAAGUCAGAUUAGCUAGUUGGUGGGGUAAAGGCCUACCAAGGCGACGAUCUGUAGCGGGUCUGAGAGGAUGAUCCGCCACACUGGGACUGAGACACGGCCCAGACUCC